RNAcentral lists this transfer RNA (75 nucleotides) under Bacteroidota bacterium. Its description in RNAcentral is "Bacteroidetes bacterium (groundwater metagenome) tRNA-Thr". It matches the Rfam family "tRNA". Rfam says of the family: Transfer RNA (tRNA) molecules are approximately 80 nucleotides in length. Their secondary structure includes four short double-helical elements and three loops (D, anti-codon, and T loops). The record is from RNAcentral. RNAcentral also lists the same sequence under 1 other name. Lineage: Bacteria; Pseudomonadati; Bacteroidota.
GCUGUUGUAGCUCAGUGGUAGAGCACUUCCUUGGUAAGGAAGAGGUCGUGAGUUCAAUCCUCAUCAACAGCUCCA